Long non-coding RNA from Mustela putorius furo (domestic ferret), 2594 nucleotides. NCBI's taxonomy places the organism in Eukaryota, Metazoa, Chordata, Mammalia, Carnivora, Mustelidae. The record is from Ensembl.
GUAUUUUAAUAGCUGACUUUCAUGUGUAUUUCCUUCUAUAGAUUAUGCACACCUGUAUGCAGGUUCAAUGUGCUCAUCUUUGUAUGCUAAGCUUUGGACACACUGAAAGAUGAUAUUUUUGUUUGUUAAAUAGUUAAAUGAUGAGUGUGUGUUUCAAGACUUGUUUGCUAAUACACGUUAGUAAUUUUGAGCAACCAAGAAACAGCUUUGAAGUAUACCGAAAGAUGUGCUCUCUUUAUUUCCUGUCCCGUUUCCAUUCUCCUAGGUCACCGUGUAUCACAUGCAUAACUUUAUCUUCAGAAAAUAUAAGAACAUUCUGGAAUACAUUUCUAUAUACAGUUGGGUUCCUUCAACUGCCAUCUGCAUGUUAAUUAUUUCCUUAGGAAAGCCAAAGCAUAGCCACCUGCUUUAUGGACACUAUUUUGAAAAUACGCCAUUCGUCACCAAAGAAGGACUACCGACGCGAGAUGCCUCCGUGUCGGAAUGGCAAAGGGAUGAGGAUGUCAAAGACAGGAUCCCACUGCCUUCUCUCUUUGCUCUUGUGUUCACUCGCUGGUAGCUUAACCUCCUCCUUUCACUAUGGACUGGAAACUUAAAAUAAGUUCAUAUGUGGCAGCGCGCUGUAGUUCUGAUUCAACCCGAGGAGCUUCAACACAAGCAAAACAACAACAGCAAAACCAGAAAAGACUCAGGUCCACCCUAAAUCAACAGAGACACAAUCUCAGAAUGACGUACAGGCAUUGGCAUUAAGAAAGCUUCGCAGGUAACACCAGUGUGCGAUGAGGGUUGCACACUCCUGAGUUAGAAACUGAGAAGGCGCGAAGGAGUUUCUUCCUGCUAAGAUUUAUGUGGAAGACUCUUUUUCUGUAUGUGGCUUUGGGGAGUGCUAGGAAAUGCUAUUCUGGCUCCAGAAGAGAAGACUUCUAGUAUUAGAAGAUUCAUAACAUGCACAGAGGAGCAAAAAAUAUUUGCCUCUGAUUGAAUGAUAUGCUGCCAAGAGGAGUCCCAGGUCAGGGUCCUGUUUGACUGCUGCCUUCUUCACUGAGGGAAUGCAAGAAUCAGGAGGAAAGCUGUACACCCUAAGCCCAUUAGCAUGCCCGGGCAGGUCUGCUGGUCAUCAAGGCCACCAUCUGACGCCCAAUGCCAGCAUUCCCUCCAUAUCAUAGCCUCCGCCCACCCCACCUUGCUUCUCCUUGGUUUUUGGAGAGGGGAACUUUUAGUGUACAGUCACAAAUGGGGUCUUUUAUUCCCCUUGGCUACUAUCCCACCAUCUUGAUUUCAGUGAACAGUUUAGAGACAGAUCACUGGUUCAAUGUGAGACAGAGAAGGGAGCAGCUUUCAAGUAGAUGUUGUGCCACAAGUGAAAUAUUUUAAGGUUGUCAAGGUGGCUACAGUAAUUACUCUACACACUAGGUGGCCAGUGCUCCAGAAAUAUUUACUGAGUAAGUAAAUGGAUGGGAGGCAGGCAUCCAAGAGAGGGGACAGAUCUCACUGGUUUCCAGUUUAACGCUCCCAUAAAAUAUAUCUGUGACAGGACUCUAUGUGAAGCUUAGGGCCAGCUUAUGUGAUAUUACCCGUUUGGGUGAAGACUCAUGAAAUCCUUCAAAACAGAGAAUCUCCCAAGACAUUCUUGUGAAAGGUGAAAAUGUCAGCCUACUACGGUGAUGGAAGAUUUGAAACUGAGAAGCUGGUAAGUAGCAGCUGCUAUUUUGUGUUACACUAGAAAUGUGCUCACGUGGAAAAGCGCUAUGUGAGGGACAAAGUGAGGGAGCCCAGGGAGGCAGCCAGUCACCACUGCGCAUGGGAAAAUUGGCUUGGGAUUUGGGGUUGUGGCUCAGUAUAUUAUUUCUUCUAUGUUACGCUCCUUUGGAGGCUUCCCAAAAUCUAUUUUACCUGGAGCAUUUUUGUUUGUUUGUUUUUAAAGAUUUUAUUUAUUUAUUUGACAGGCAGGCAGAGAGAGGGGCGGGGGAGAAGCAGGCUCCCUGCUGAGCAGAGAGCCCGAUGCGGGACUCGAUCCCAGGACCCUGAGAUCAUGACCUGAGCCGAAGGCAGCGGCUUAACCCACUGAGCCACCCAGGCGCCCCAUGGAACAUUUUUUUUUUUUUUUGAAACAGCAAUUCCUGUAUGGAAUCAGAGUAUGAAUUUCCUGGUUGCUUGGAAUUCCCUAGGUUUUCUGUGACCCCACUUCUGGGUGGUCAGGAAAGCCACAUAUCACUUCCUCACAUCUGAACCCCUAGACCGCGGCUGCAGUGGCAAACACAAACACUACACCCACUACACGUAUAUUUGAUUCAUUGUAAAACAAGCCUCGAGAAGACGCCAUAAAGCUUUCUCUACUAUCAGGUUUUAAGUAGUAAAAACUACUUCAUGCUUUGGAAACCAAGAGAGGAUUAUAACCCUAUGGGGGAUCUCCUGGGGCCAACCUUCUUCUCCAAAGGCGGGGCAGUGUAUCAAGAGCUUGGACACAGUAGUCAUGUCGCUGGGAUUUGUCCAAGCCCCACUACAUCUUAGGUAUGUGACCUUGAGGACAUCAAUUACCCUUUUUGUGCUUCAGGAUUUUUCUCUCUCAAGUUGGGAUAAAAGUAAUACCUGCC